Molecule: non-coding RNA, 25 nt
Filed under: Drosophila erecta
Lineage: Eukaryota; Metazoa; Arthropoda; Insecta; Diptera; Drosophilidae
Also listed under: 1 other name
Source: RNAcentral
UGAAAUUGUUCGUGAAGCGCCCUGG